GACGAACGCUGGCGGCGUGCUUAACACAUGCAAGUCGAACGGAAAGGCCCUGCUUUUGUGGGGUGCUCGAGUGGCGAACGGGUGAGUAACACGUGAGUAACCUGCCCUUGACUUUGGGAUAACUUCAGGAAACUGGGGCUAAUACCGGAUAGGAGCUCCUGCUGCAUGGUGGGGGUUGGAAAGUUUCGGCGGUUGGGGAUGGACUCGCGGCUUAUCAGCUUGUUGGUGGGGUAGUGGCUUACCAAGGCUUUGACGGGUAGCCGGCCUGAGAGGGUGACCGGCCACAGUGGGACUGAGAUACGGCACAGACUCCUACGGGAGGCAGCAGUGGGGAGUAUUGCGCAAUGGGCGGAAGCCUGAUGCAGCAACGCCGCGUGCGGGAUGAAGGCCUUCGGGUUGUAAACCGCUUUCGCCUGUGACGAAGCGUGAGUGACGGUAAUGGGUAAAGAAGCACCGGCUAACUACGUG
This 468-nucleotide ribosomal RNA is filed under the name uncultured bacterium. RNAcentral's name for it is "partial 16S ribosomal RNA". It matches the Rfam family "Bacterial small subunit ribosomal RNA", at positions 28 to 507 of the family's 1533-position model. The record is from RNAcentral.